RNAcentral lists this microRNA precursor (109 nucleotides) under Sorghum bicolor (sorghum). RNAcentral describes it as "MIR5565 microRNA precursor family". It matches the Rfam family "MIR5565 microRNA precursor family". The record is from Rfam by way of RNAcentral. Lineage: Eukaryota; Viridiplantae; Streptophyta; Magnoliopsida; Poales; Poaceae.
GUUGUCGGAUUCACUUCAAUCCAUAUGUGUUGGUGUGGAUUGGGGUGAAAUUUAGUUCAAGUUCCACUCCAAUCCACCUCAACCCAUGUAGAUUGAUGUGAAUCCGACU